UUGUAAACUCAGGGUUUAUUUCCAUAAGAGCAAAAAGAAGAUCUAACACUUCACAAAUCAUUUUGUAGCGCAAUACUGAUUUUUUUGCAGCGGAAGAUGCGCGCGAGGUCAACACGGCACGCGCGCUUCCGUCUGUAGAUCAAUUACUGCUUCCGGUAGUUUUACUCUGAAGAGAAACACAAACAGUUUGUUUAUCGUCGUGGAUUAUACGAUUCGUUUUUAUAUUCAAGACUCAAUGUGCUGCUAUGGUGACCCAACCCCUCAACAUCCAAUGAUGAUCUUUGUCUGCAGCACAUUCACAAAGACUGUUAACAUGAAGACAGGAGGCGACCUGAUGCACAGACCAUCAUUCAUCCAAACUUGACUGAAGUGUUGAGUGUUGAUACAUUAAAGGUUCAUCAGCGGACUGAACGCUGUUCUGUAGAGUCUGUAAUGAAACACAUCACAUCAACAACACUCCGCACAACAAUACAUCAACAAAUCUAACAUACACUCACAAACUUGUGAUUUCACUAUUACAAUAUUGAUUUGACACUGAGAGCGAUAAGAGCAAUGUGAAGACAAAAUGCAUCAUUUCUCAUCAAUAAAACAUCAGAAGUUUUCACGUGUUAGUGUUUAUAUAGCACGUAACUAAUAAAGCCUAUGACUGAGUUUAAGAAAGAAUCAAUAAAUGGAACAAAAUAACAUUUCAAUUUUUUCAUGAAUUAAUUUAACAACUUCAGUCGGGAUUUUUGUGUUUUUAUUGCUUCAAGGCCAGGAACAAUGAAUCUUUACACGUUUAUCACUUUCCUUUUCAUUUUUUGUCUGAAGAGGUGACUAUUUACAGCAUGAAGCCCUUGUAUCCUUUGACCUUUGUAGUGGUUGGUGUGCCAUAAAAUCCCAUUCACACACAAGAAAUGAUUUUUUGAUUGCUGUCCACUGCCGUGACCUCGAAAGUAAAACUUUUAAUUUAGUUACAUAAUUUUUCUUCUUUAACUGGAAAUCCAUAAUCCUCUGACAGACGUGAUGUAAAGGCCACUCUUUAUACGGCACACACAUGUGACUACAUUUACAUUAUUUCAUGUCCAGCAAAACAUUUUCCAACUAAAGGACUUUAAAAAUGUCAUAUGUACCUGAAUUAUUUCUAACACUGGUGUCCUAUUUCUAUUCAUGUGGCCGUCUCUUCUCUGGAGGCUUGAAUAAGUGUCAGACCUCUGCAAGGUUCUGCGUGAUUUUCAGAGAUGAAAAACAUGCUGGGAACAGACAGGGUCGUGAAAAACGUGUUCAUAGUGGACAGACGGCUGUUCAUCGCUGAUCGCUGAUACACUGCAACGAUUCACCUUAUCAAGCACAUUGAGGAGCUCAUAGGAGGAAGUCCGGUGAGGCGUAACAGCACUGCAGGGUUUUCCACAGGCUCACACUUCUUUCCUUUUCUUCUUGCUGGAUUCAGGAGAGACGUGACUGAGUCUCUCAGUGUCAUGUGACCUCAUCCACUGUCUGCUGAACGUGAUCUUCACUCUUCUGCAGACUCUUCUGUCUCUGUCUUCAUUCAACACCUUGUCUAUUGUGUGAUGAAGGCGGUGUUCACUCCAGCAGGAGAUUUUCUCCAUAUCCUGCACACUCUCUCAGAUACACUGGAGAUUCCAGGUGCCUCGUGACCUUCUGACAUCUCCUCAAAGUCAAAUAUUUUGAUGUCCUCAUGUUUUAAAGGGAUGUGCUCUUCAUCAGAGAUCUCCUCUGGUUCAUCAAUGCCUUUCUUUGGGCACAGAACAUUGCUGAACCUAGACCUGACCAACUGCAUCAAACCCAGAUCAUAGCUCUGCCCAGGUUGUGAAUAAUUUUUACACCCCUCGCAUCGCCACUGGACUAUAUCUGACCACCUAUUUAAUAGCUGUAUAGACUAAUAAAUGUAACUAACACAUGUCUUUAGUUUGUAUUUUUUCAAACUAUUUGGCUAUAUCAUGUUUCUACCAAUUAAAGAAAGCCUUUUUUUCCAUGCCAGCAUUUCACUUUGUGCUCAACAACAGUUUUCUCGUGGGUUUGUACAUGUGCAACCAGGAUACCCUCCAUUCCUUUAACAGAACCUGCAUUUGUACUUUCUGCAAGUGCAUAAGGUCCAGGCAAUCUUCCCUCCUUCCAAAUGGUUACAUGAAGCUAGAAGAAGGCUAAAUAAAUGAAUUGAAAUCACUUUUUUUUAUGCAUUUGGCAGACGCUUUUAUCCAAAGCGACUUACAUUGCUUUAUCCUAUACAUUUUACAUAGGUAUUUGCAAUCCCCUGGGAACGAACCCACAACCUUGCAUUGUUAACGCAAUGCUCUUACCACUGAGCUACAGGAAAGCCUUUUCCCAUUAGAGGAAGAGCCAGCUCGAAAAUGCUCAUUGAGCCGUGCGUGUGCGAUAAUCCAGAGACAGUUUGUAUUGAAACACACAGCGUUCACAAGUGCCUUUCAGAUUCAGAUUGUGGCCUGCACCUGAUUUUAAAAUCUCUCAGAAGUUCAGACUGCUGUCACAGGUCCAGAUGAUGUGUGUUUAUCUCAUCUUAGAAUGUUAUUAAAUAUCUGCAGAUGUGGAAACAAAAGGCGAUUAUUUUUUACUGAAUGUGACCCGAGUUAAAUGUGAAGGGGGUUUGCUCAACCGGUCUGAAUUCAGCUCAGUUUGUUACAGGUCUGGUGGACUUGUGCCGGUUGCACCAGCUUUGUAUAAACUUUAACUUUGAUUAGAAUUGCCGCAAAGGGAAUUAAGUUACAAUUUACACUCUGCUGAAUGUGUCCACCAGUGAAUUUAACGUAACGUCUAAACUAAAUAUUUGCAGAAGCCUCCUGUCAGGAGUCACAGUUGAAAUAAAAUAGCAGAUUUACUUAACUAAAUUGACGAAACACAAUCAAUAAACUCAUCAGUCAUAAAAAAUCAUUAAUUUUUAUCAAUGUUUAUUUAUUUUGCGACUAUUAUUUACAUAUAUAAAUACCUAUUGUGUUUAUAAAGAUUAAACAUAACUUCUCAUGAAUUUAAAGGCUUUUAAUGGAUUAUUGAAGGUAAAAAUUAUAUUGUAUGACUACGCAUUACUUUACUGUGAGCAGACGACCUGCUAGUUGUGUUAAAUUAUGUUUUUAUAAAGCAUUAUCAAUAAAUGGGGCCACAGAAAUAAGUCAUUUAUAAACUAGGUAAGCCAGGUUUUACGUUCUAAUUUAGGAGCUUAUAUGAAUGGCUGGUGCAACCCUCUCCUGAUGUCUUGAAUCAGUUUCUUUUGAAAUUUUAUACGGGAAUGAAUCAUAUCAGUUGAUUUUUGUUUUGGUGAAGUGUAUUUGUUGGUGCGGUUUGUGUUGUUUUUUAUUGUUCUCUCACAGUAUUGGUUGGUGUUACUGUACCGGAUCAAUAUUAGCUUAUAUUCUUAUCCUUUGUUUUUAAAUUAAAUGAAACCAGUGAAAUGUGAAAUGGGACCAAGAUGACCAGGACUGAGGUAGAAGAUGCUUAAUAUAAUAUUUCAAGGUUUAGUAUGUUUUGACAGUUUUGUGUUGCUAGUUUUUAGACAUUCCAUCAAAUAAAAUUCAUCCUUCCAAGAGAAAUGAAAUGUAUAUAAAAUAAUUUGGUGUGAUACAAAUGUGCUGUUUAUUGUGGAUUUCAUUCAUGUCUGAACAGUGCAACUCUCUUUUAAAAAAACACUGGAACUUG
Triplophysa dalaica is the source of this 3648-nucleotide long non-coding RNA. RefSeq lists it as uncharacterized. The record is from RefSeq and is a predicted model, not a curated record. Lineage: Eukaryota; Metazoa; Chordata; Actinopteri; Cypriniformes; Nemacheilidae. The transcript is spliced from 3 exons.